AUUGAACGCUGGCGGCAGGCCUAACACAUGCAAGUCGAGCGGAUGAAGGGAGCUUGCUCCUGGAUUCAGCGGCGGACGGGUGAGUAAUGCCUAGGAAUCUGCCUGGUAGUGGGGGAUAACGUCCGGAAACGGGCGCUAAUACCGCAUACGUCCUGAGGGAGAAAGUGGGGGAUCUUCGGACCUCACGCUAUCAGAUGAGCCUAGGUCGGAUUAGCUAGUUGGUGGGGUAAAGGCCUACCAAGGCGACGAUCCGUAACUGGUCUGAGAGGAUGAUCAGUCACACUGGAACUGAGAAAAGGUCCAGACUCCUACGGGAGGCAGCAGGUGGGAAAAUUGGAAAAUGGGCGAAAGCCUGAUCCAGCCAUGACGCGUGUGUGAAGAAGGUCUUCGGAUUGUAAAGCACUUUAAGUUGGGAGGAAGGGCAGUAAGUUAAUACCUUGCUGUUUUGACGUUACCAACAGAAUAAGCACCGGCUAACUUCGUG
Molecule: ribosomal RNA, 484 nt
Filed under: uncultured bacterium
Lineage: Bacteria
Description: partial 16S ribosomal RNA
Rfam family: Bacterial small subunit ribosomal RNA
Source: RNAcentral